RNAcentral lists this non-coding RNA (91 nucleotides) under Mesodinium pulex. The record is from RNAcentral. Lineage: Eukaryota; Ciliophora; Litostomatea; Cyclotrichida; Mesodiniidae.
UAAAAAAAAAAAAAAAAACAAAAAAAAAAAAAAAAAAAAAAAAAAAAAUUUUUUUUUUUUUUUUUUUUUUUUUUGUUUUUUUUUUUUUUUU